CUUCCUAUGUUCUACAAAAUGGAAACAGAAACUGGGUACGCAUACAUUACCUUUGAAGGCAAGCAGAAACUGGACAAAAACCAAUUAAAACAGAGGCUCCACCUUGUGAAUUUUGAGGAUUAGAAACAUUACCAAUAGAUAGAGAGGACAGGUCCAAGGUUUUUUUCUCAGUUUUCUUGAGAAAGAUGAUGUUUCUGGUUUGUGUGGCUAGAGGUCCUUGUUUUAGAGAUAUUGAGGCCACAGUUUCAAAGAUAAGAUUCUUUUGGACAUUAUCAGGUAAAGUUUUGGUGUUUUCAAAGAGGUUUGGUUUUUUUUAUUCGUUUGAAUUUGUCUUCAUUGUAAAUUUCUGUCAUACAUAUAUCUGCUGCUUCUGCUGUGAGUUCUAA
Molecule: long non-coding RNA, 386 nt
Organism: Carya illinoinensis
Lineage: Eukaryota; Viridiplantae; Streptophyta; Magnoliopsida; Fagales; Juglandaceae
Exons: 2
Source: RefSeq, a predicted model, not a curated record